UUUUUUACAGGUCUAGGUGAAAUUCCAUGAAGCGCUGUACUUUCGGGUGUGUCAUUGCUGAACCAUACUCUGCUUCCAUCGGACACUACAACCAAGGCGAAAGAGAUUUUACCUUCAUUUGACACAUGUUCGUGCAAAUAAAACACCAUGCAAUGUUGACAACAUCCUUAAAGAAGACACGUAGACAUCAGUCGACAGGUAUAAUACUGUAACAACACAUAAUAAGGGGAUUCGACAGAGAUUUGUUAAUCCAAGAAUAUAAACUACCUGGUCCAUUAAUGGGAAACAGAAACCGGCUCUGCGACGCUCUGUCCCCUGCAUCCGCUGUCAAUCAGACUCAGUGGAAGAGAUACUGAAUUUUUCACUACUACUACGACAUGUACUACAUUUAACGGAAAUAUUGUUAGGCAAGUCCACCUAUGAAAUCGCAACUAAAAAUUCUAUUAAUAUACUACAUAGCGCACACUGUCUCAAUGAAAAUGUUUAUGUCCCAAGUGCACAAACUAAUGUGAUCUAAUUUAGAUAAAUAUAUAUGUAUAUAUAUAUGACAUGCAGACUCCUCUAAAACGAAACUGAUCGAACAGAAUUUAAUUUGACCAUGGAACAACAGACUCGAGAAUCUUACCCGUAGCGCUAAAAGGAGAACCGUAACGGAUUCCGGGAUUCUCGGGUGUUGAUUUUUGUAACAUAGUUCCCUGUAAACGAACAUGGCGAUGCUCGACAGCGCUACGCAUCUUGCAAUGCCAGUCGGCUCGCGUCUACAGCUUCUCAGGAGUAUCGUAAUUAUAUGCUCCUAAAAAUAAAAACAAUUCAUAUAACAUACAAUGUGUUCACAAAUUCGUGUUAUCUACAUGUAUCGAAUUACUUUUGCGUCCGGGCACGUCAUGGUUACAAUAUCUGUUGCAGUGGGUUGCAGUACCGGUAAUUUAAUUGUAGUCGCAGGCAACGACAAUAGCGAUCCAAUUAUGGAGACAGCUUCUGUCCUUGGCGCCUAGAAUAGUUUUAUUAUUUAUAUCUCCACAGUUAUAUAUAUUAUUGUACAAUUAAAUUAUUGCAGAUUCUACGGUACCCCAAUGUCUUGGCUGCUUAAUAUAACGUUAGCGGCAUGGAUAUAGUCCAAGAUCAACAGACUGGAGCCAGGAAGAUUCAAACUGAAUAACCUUGGGCCCGUAUACUUAACAAGCACGUGAAGCACUUUGGUGUCGUUGCUGACGAUACCGUUGUGAACCGCGCGAUAAAACAGAGUCAGGUGUUGCUUUGGUAAAUUGAUGUCCUGUGGCUGGAUUGUUAAAAGGCAAAUCAAACGAUAUGCCGCUAGUUUGCCAACUUCGAACUGUGCAGGAAGCUGUAUCGCCUGAAAGCGUGUGUAAUUCGUUUAAUUAGCAUCUCUUUUCUUUUUUCAAGUGUAUUAUAUUCAGUAAAUACUAACAACCUUGAAACACCAUGGGGCGAUAACUGUUAACGGUGGUAUGAGUUCUGGAGCUGGAGGAGUCGCUUGAUUAUCUCCAGACACGCCUUGGUUUAAACGAAUCUAUUUCAUACAAAAAAAAAAGAAGAAGUAAUAAUAUUUAUUUCAUUAUAAUGCCUUCGAUAAUUGUGAUAACCUGUGAUCCAGCAAGUACCAACUUUUAUGAGUGUUUGCGUUAGCUGCACAAGGUAGUCCAUCACUUGACCAUGAAGAAUGGGAUCUUGAAUGUUAUUUACAUCUCCUAAUGCCGACAGCAUACGUCUCCAUAAUACCACCGCCACGUCUGGCAACCAUCCCCGAACUCCACCACCUGCCAUAACAGAUCUUCUUUCCGAUGCAUCAUUAGUGUCUGCGAACGAUAAUGGAAUUACUUAUUUCAAUGAAAGAUCCUUUCCUAAAACUUUCUACAAACCUAUAUUCGUUUCGUACACAUAUUCACUAUAAAACGGAAACAAUAUUACAAGUGUGUCGAAUUGUCCGUAUAAAAAGAGAAAACAAAUUCCUCGACAUACGACGGGGCAUAUAGUUAAUUCGCAGAAAUUGUAAGCGAAGCGUGUGAUACAAAUUGUUUAUCGAGCGAAUCAUACGUAUGUAUAUGUAUAUCUUUGUUAGUAUUACAUCGAUGAUUUAUGAGAAUGCUUA
Non-coding RNA from Megalopta genalis, 2110 nucleotides. The record is from RefSeq and is a predicted model, not a curated record. NCBI's taxonomy places the organism in Eukaryota, Metazoa, Arthropoda, Insecta, Hymenoptera, Halictidae.